CGAGAAGCAGCUACAUCCUCCACCGGUGCCGUUGGUUUCUCCGAUGAUGAGGUGGCAGGUGAUGAUGUCAUAGAAGGUGGGGCAACAGCCGGGUGAGAUUGCUCAGCUGAUGAUGAUGAAGAAACGGCCGUUUCGAUGGCGGAAUGGUGGUUGCGGCUGUUUUUCAUGUUUGUUUGUUUUUUUGGGUUAAAAUUAUUUUUCCUCGUCUCUAUGGCGUGUGUAGGUGUAUCUCUUACGAAUAUAUGUUUUUAUUGACGAUGAUGAAUGGAGAAAAGAAAAUAAAGAGACAAGGGGAAAAUGG
This 301-nucleotide unclassified non-coding RNA is filed under the name Hevea brasiliensis (rubber tree). The record is from RNAcentral. Lineage: Eukaryota; Viridiplantae; Streptophyta; Magnoliopsida; Malpighiales; Euphorbiaceae.